AAUGAAUGUUGGCGGCGUGGAUUAGGCAUGCAAGUCGUACGCUUUAUGUAGCAAUACAUGAAGAGUGGCGUAAGGGAGAGUAAUGCAUGGUUAGCUACCCUGGGGACUGGGAUAGCGGCGGGAAACUGCCGGUAAUACCAGAUGACAUCUUCGGAUCAAACGUGUGAAACGGCCCUAGGAGGUGACCAUGUCCUAUCAGCUAGUUGGCGGUGUAACGGACCACCAAGGCUAAGACGGGUAUGGGGCGUGAGAGCGUGCCCCCACUCACUGGGACUGAGACACUGCCCAGACACCUACGGGUGGCUGCAGUCGAGAAUCUUCGGCAAUGGGCGCAAGCCUGACCGAGCGACGCCGCGUGCGGGAUGAAGGCCUUCGGUUGUAACCGCUGUCGUAGGGGAGGAAGGAUCCUGUGAAGAACAGGGUUUGACCGAUCCUAGGAGGAAGGGCCGGCGUAAUCUCGUGCCAGCAGCCGCG
This 474-nucleotide ribosomal RNA is filed under the name uncultured bacterium. RNAcentral's name for it is "bacterial SSU rRNA". It matches the Rfam family "Bacterial small subunit ribosomal RNA", at positions 29 to 519 of the family's 1533-position model. The record is from RNAcentral.